UACUCUUUGGCAAUUUUACAGACAUACGGUAACGUUAAUUGUAAAUCCCAGAAAGUCCAUAGUUGUGGACGUCGUCAACUUAGAUUUAUCUGGAUGGAGAUGACCCCAGAGUUUCACCCAAUGUUUGGUAGCUAAAACUGCUGAUUUAGCUAGAUCCAGGGUUUUUCCCCACAAUUGAUAUAUCAUCAAGAUAUGCCAUGACAAUAUGUUUUUGUUUCUAAUAUUGCCAAGGCCAGUUUUAAUAUCUUGGUGAACAGUCUUGGGGCUGAAGUUAGCUGAUUAGGCAACGCUAUGCCCUGCCAUAGUUGCCCCAUCCAGUUAAAUUUUAGGUAUCGACAAUGAUCCCUCCAUGUCUCCCAAAACAAGUUUAAUAUUCUCCCUGUUAGUACAGGUCAUACAACUUUGUGUUCUGGAAGGAACCAGAUCCACUUACCUCCCUGGUUGCCGGUGGUACGCCCCUUUCUUCAAUUUCAGCCUCUUCUGCGGAAGAGGCGCCGGAGUGCGGGGUUGGCACAUUUUCCAUGAGGGUCGCUCUGGGCCUUGGUUUAAAAAAAGGGCCUUUGUGGUGCUGCGCGGCCCUCAUGCUUUCACCAGCGUCCUGGUGUUGAUACCUGCUGGUGGCUGCAUAGGGGUGCAGUAGUUGCUGAUGAUGCUGUUAUGAGCCCGAUGGCUUUAAACUCUUUGUUGAGCUUUUUUACUUGUUUCCCCCCUGGUUGUGUUGCAGCUGUUUCUCACAACCUUGCAAAUUUGGGGUUUAGUGCAGGUUUACUGUGCUCUCGCAAGGAAUUGAUUUCAUAGUGGGUAUUGUCAAUCCUGCUGUCAUCUCUGUACCAUCAUCUAGGCGAGCAACCAAUGAUAUGCCCGCUGUCAGAAGUUUUAAAUCUUCUGUCGUUUGACAUCCUGGGUUUUUGUGACAGUCCCACUGUACCCCCAGAUCGCAUUGUUUGCUGCAGGCAUAUUUAAUGAAGUAAAGUUCACAGGAGGCCUAUACUUCUCUGUAAUUCCGUUACCUGUUCCUGCAGAGGAUGGAAGUACAGGUAGUCGAUGCUGGCCACCAGCUUGGUCUGCAAUGGUACUUUUCGUUGAUCCGUAAUUUUGGUGAUCACUCCCAGUAGCUGCUUAGGAUUCUGCACCCCCUGCACACUGCUGUUUUCUUCAGCCACUUCCCCUUCUUCAGGACCAGCCCAGCCCUGGUCCACAAUGCUCUCCUCUGUCGAGGGAGAUGCAUUGUUUUACAGCCCUCGAUAAGGUGCUGUUGUGGGAGUGCGAAGACUCCCAUAGUGAGCUUGCUCCAUCUCCCGGAGCAAGUCACAGGCGGACCUCUGCUGCACUCGGGCAGCGCGCCCCCUCGGCCGGACUCAGAUGAGUAUGAUCGGCUGGGCUGAAUCCUGCUGGGCUUUGCCUCCAGCCUGCUGCGCUGAUUUGAGCUGUACGACUCAUGGCGCUGGAUUCAGCUUGGCAGAGUUGGAGUCGGUGGCUUAUGAGUCCAACCCUGGCUUUACUCGUCACAGAACAAAGACGCCUGUGCGUGUGUUUGUUUAACGUGCACUUGAUGUUACACUCCACGAAGCACACGGUCCUUCACAAAUCAAUCAACUUAUUCCAAUGGCAAGGGAACCAAGACGAUUGGAGCUGAUAGAUCUGUUGCAGCCUUCAUCCGCCUUCACAGCCAUUGAGGUCAAGAUAACUUUGUCUGCCUGUUCCGCCAUUGAGGUCUUGUAGGUUGGAUCAUUCUUAGUCUGGACCCUCAUCCUCGACCUUGCCGCCAUGGGAGGCCCUACCAGAAGCUGGUACUUCCGAUGGCAUUGCUUUCUGAAUCAUUGGGGCUCGCAAGCCUCUUCACCACGACAAGGUACCUCAGGGCCCACCAUCUAAUGCAGAUGGCAAACCACUUGCAAAACAAUUCAAGAGCUGAUCAACGGCAGAGGGAAGAAAAUUGAGUCCUUUUCAAUGGACGCUGAGUGAAGCUUCAAUACGUUUUGUAUUGAGGUGCUUAACCGACCUGCCCCUGGCUUAAUGUUUUAUGAUUGCUUGCAAUAGAUUUUAAUAGUAUUAUCGAUCAUUUCUACACAGGUUUGAUUUUGAUGCUAGUUUCUGUUCAUCAGUCUUCUGGGCUUGUGUGUUCACUGUAUUAGCGAUGAAGUUUAAUAAUAAAUCAUUCGCUCAUGUUCAUCUCUCGUUACAGUGUUGAAGAAGACCAUUUUUAUCAUUGUGCCAAGACCCGGAGGGGCACAUUGGCGCAGCAGUAGAGUCGCUGCCUCAGAGACCCAGGUUCCAUCCAGACUACAAAUUGGGUAUUUGCAAAGUGUUGUCUGUGCGGAGUUUGUGCCUUCUCCCCAUAGCCGCCUGGGAUUUCUCCAGGUACUCCGGUUUCCUCCCACAGUCCAAGGUUUGUAGCUAAAUUGGCUUAUAUAAAUUGUCCCUGGUGUGUAAGGAGUAACCAUAUAAUAACCAUAUAACAAUUACAGCAUGGAAACAGGCCAUUUCGACCCUUCUAGUCCGUGCCGAACACAUAAUCUCCCCUAGUCCCACAUGCCUGCGCUCAGACCAUAACCCUCCAUUCCCUUCCCAUCCAUAUAACUAUCCAAUUUAUUUUUAAAUGAUAAAAACGAACCUGCCUCCACCACCUUCACUGGAAGCUCAUUCCACACAGCCACCACUCUCUGAGUAAAGUUCCCCCUCAUGUUACCCCUAAACUUCAGUCCCUUAAUUCUCAAGUCAUGUCCCCUUGUUUGAAUCUUCCCUACUCUCAGUGGGAAAAGCUUUUCCACGUCAACUCUGUCUAUCCCUCUCAUCAUUUUAAAAACCUCUAUCAAGUCCCCCCUUAACCUUCUGCGCUCCAAAGAAUAAAGCCCUAACUUGUUCAACCUUUCUCUGUAACUUAGUUGCUGAAACCCAGGCAACAUUCUAGUAAAUCUGAUGUGAUACCUAGGAUAACAUAGAACUAGUGUAAUCGGAUGAUCGAUGAUCGGUGUGAACUCGAUGGGCCGAAGGCUGAAGGGACUGUUUCCAUGUUGUAUCUCUGAACUAAAUUAAACUAAACAAGGAUCCUCAUAAUCCUCAGUUGGUUGAGGCCACAGUUCUAUUGUUGCCAUAAUUCAUGGGAAAUGGACAAAUUAGGAAUAUUCUAGAAAGGGGGACAGAUGAAGAAUCGGAGUGCUCGCUUUUUAAUAUUCACUUAAUAGACUUGGAAAUAAUUUACUGGUUGCACUUGCUGACUAGGGUUGCCCUUGCUUUUGUAGCACGCUGUAUAAUGAGCUGAACAGGCAGUGUUUUAAUGUGAUCGAUGAUUAGCUGAAUUUGAAAUGGUUCCAGGCACUUAGCUUACAUUCUCCACUGUGAAACGUUGGCUCGUUCUCAGACCCUGGUCCUUCGUGCCUCUUCCAUUGCCAACUUUUGCCAUUGAGUGAGUGAUCACCAGUGCCAUGUUUUGUUUAGUUUAGGGGCGGCACAGUGGCGCAGUGGUAGAGUUGCUGCCUUACAGUGCCAGAGGCUCUGGCUCGAUCCUGAACUUGGGUGCUGUCUGUACUGAGUUUGUGCUUUUUCCCUGUGACCCUGUGAGUUUUCUCUGUGUGCUCUGAUUUCCUUCGACAUUCCAAAGACAUGCAAGUUUGUAGGUUAAUUGGAUCCUGUAAAUUGUCCCUUAUGUGCAGGAUAGAACUAGCGUAUGGGUGAUCUCUGGUCGGCAUGGACUCGGUGGGCUGAAGGGCCUAUUUUCAAACUAAAGAAAACUAAAAAUUGAAUGAACGUUUUAGUUUAGUCUAGUCUAGUUUAGUUGAGCUUAGUUUAGUUCAGUUUAUUGCCACGUUUACCAAGGUACAGUGAAAAGCUUUUGUCAUGUGCUAACCAGUCAGCAGAAAGAGCCAUCCAAAGUGUGCAGAUGCAUGAUCAUUAUUCAGUCCUGCAUGCUCACAGCAGCUACAUGCACACAGGUGAUGCAUGUUCCACAUUAGUGGGGUGGGUAGUAUACUCAGUGGGCUGAAGGGCCUAUUUCCAAGCUGUUUCCCUCAAUCAAUUAAUCAAAAUGAAGUGUCAAAGCUAUAAGAAAAUGGGCCCAUCAUUUUAAUCUGUGCAAAGAUCACCCCUUUGCACCAGUUAUAUAUUGUCCCAUUGUCCCGCUGUUGCAUCCACUUCCUACACACUAGGGACGAUUUACAGAGGGCCAAUUAACCUACUAACCCACAUGUCUUUGGGAUAUGGAAGGAAAGCUGAGCACCCAGAGGAAACCCAGAGAGAAUGUACAAUCUCCAUACAUAGACAGCACCUGAAGGCAGGAUUGAACCCGGGUCUCUGAUGCUGUGAGACAGCGCCUCGACUAGCUGCGCCACUCUUCAAAGAUCUUGUACUGGCGAAAACAGCAAGCCGGCUUCUUUCACUUGAUGGUUCUUUAGACGAUCAGAGUGUGAGAUUUAAUGAACAUCGCUUUAGACAGUUGUACAGAUAACAUAGGUGUUCAUUGUGUUCAAACGGACAUGAUUAUCAAUUUAGGCACAAAAUGCUGGGGUAACUCAGCUGGACAGGCAGCAUCUUUAGAUAGAAGGAAUGGCUGACGUUUCAGGUUGAGACACUUCUAUAGACUGAGGGUCAGGGGAAAG
Long non-coding RNA from Leucoraja erinaceus (little skate), 4595 nucleotides. RefSeq lists it as uncharacterized. Lineage: Eukaryota; Metazoa; Chordata; Chondrichthyes; Rajiformes; Rajidae. The transcript is spliced from 3 exons. The record is from RefSeq and is a predicted model, not a curated record.